RNAcentral lists this ribosomal RNA (465 nucleotides) under Streptococcus lutetiensis. RNAcentral's name for it is "bacterial SSU rRNA". It matches the Rfam family "Bacterial small subunit ribosomal RNA", at positions 57 to 507 of the family's 1533-position model. The record is from RNAcentral. Lineage: Bacteria; Bacillati; Bacillota; Bacilli; Lactobacillales; Streptococcaceae.
GCAGUAGACGCUGAGACUUUAGCUUGCUAAAGUUGGAAGAGUUGCGAACGGGUGAGUAACGCGUAGGUAACCUGCCUACUAGCGGGGGAUAACUAUUGGAAACGAUAGCUAAUACCGCAUAACAGCAUUUAACACAUGUUAGAUGCUUGAAAGGAGCAAUUGCUUCACUAGUAGAUGGACCUGCGUUGUAUUAGCUAGUUGGUGAGGUAACGGCUCACCAAGGCGACGAUACAUAGCCGACCUGAGAGGGUGAUCGGCCACACUGGGACUGAGACACGGCCCAGACUCCUACGGGAGGCAGCAGUAGGGAAUCUUCGGCAAUGGGGGCAACCCUGACCGAGCAACGCCGCGUGAGUGAAGAAGGUUUUCGGAUCGUAAAGCUCUGUUGUAAGAGAAGAACGUGUGUGAGAGUGGAAAGUUCACACAGUGACGGUAACUUACCAGAAAGGGACGGCUAACUACGUG